CCUACGGGAGGCAGCAGUGAGGAAUAUUGCACAAUGGGCGAAAGCCUGAUGCAGCAACGCCGCGUGAGCGAUGAAGGCCUUCGGGUCGUAAAGCUCUGUCCUCAAGGAAGAUAAUGACGGUACUUGAGGAGGAAGCCCCGGCUAACUACGUGACAGCAGCCGCGGUAAUACGGAGGGGGCUAGCGUUAUCCGGAAUUACUGGGGGGAAAGGGUGCGUAGGUGGUUUCUUAAGUCAGAGGUGAAAGGCGAGGGCUCAACCGUAGGAAGCCUUUGAAACUGGGGAACUUGAGUGCAGGAGAGGAGUGUGGAAUUCCUGGUGUAGCGGUGAAAUGCGUAGAUAUUAGGAGGAACACCAGUUGCGAAGGCGGCUCUCUGGACUGUAACUGACGCUGAGGCACGAAAGCGUGGGGAGCAAACAGGAUUAGAUACCCUUGUAGUC
RNAcentral lists this ribosomal RNA (439 nucleotides) under uncultured bacterium. RNAcentral's name for it is "partial 16S ribosomal RNA". It matches the Rfam family "Bacterial small subunit ribosomal RNA", at positions 338 to 795 of the family's 1533-position model. The record is from RNAcentral.